UGGGACAACAUCUUUCCUAGAAAGGUUGGGCCACUAAUGAGAUGAACUAUGGGAAAGGAAGGCAUGGAUGGGUUUGGAAUGAUCCCUAGUAUUUUUGAAAAUUUUUGGGGAAUUUUUGGAGAAGAGGAAAGGGUUGAAGUGAACUUUGGGGUACACAAGCUGGGUGGAUAUAGCAUUUUUGGAGGGGGCUGCCGUCGGAGAGGGGGCUGCUGGCGCACUGUUUUGUGCGCCUCGUUCAUGGACCCGGUGGACAAGUGGAAGGGGGAGAGCGGUCCACUAGACCAUGUACAGGGACGAGUGGAGGUGUGGGAGGUUAACUGUGGCGACAGCAUUACCCAGCAGGCUCGCGUGUCAGUUUGACUGGAAGAGAGAGGGUGGAUGGAAGGGUGACAGGGGGAGGGGGUGGCGUGUACCGGGGGUAGCGCCGGACCCGGGCGGCACCGCCGGGAUCACCAUGGGUGCUGCCAUGGGCUCGCCGGGGCGGCACCGAUUUGGUGCCUCCGGCCACCCCUAGCCUCGCCACUGGAACCAAGAAAGAGUAUAGGACAAGGCGAGUCGGGUGGGGAGGUUGUGGAGAGGAGAGAGAGAAGGGAAAUGGCGUGGCCACGGGAAGAGGGGGCUCGGCUUGGCCGAUGGUGUAUGGAAGUGAGCGGGGAGCGGGGUGCCUUUUAUAUGCAGGCACGCGGUGUAGGAGGGGGUGGCGGCCACGUCACCGAACCUUGCUUAGCAGCCAAGGAACAUGGCGCUGGUGGGGUGAAGGGAUGAGGCCGGCCGAGGGCUGAAGGAUUGCACAACGGCUGGGAAUAGUGGUGGCCGGAAAUGGUAGCGGCAGGGAAUUGUGGCAGCGGGGAUGGAGAGCGCAUGCGGUGUCAGAGGAGAGGAUAGGAGCGGCCGGUGGCUUCGCGGCGAGGGAAAGGGAGGGGGAGCUGCAAUGCCGGUGUGGAUGAGUAUGAUGACAGUGUCAUGAUGGCGGUAGAGGAGGAUAGGGUAAGGUGACACCGGUGGCAGGGGGAAGGGGAUGACCAGGAUGAGGUGCCCUGCUUGCAGGAGAAGGCGGGAAGGGGAGGCGCAUCUGCGGAGCAUGGCGUCGUGGCGAUGUGGAUGUUACCAUGGAGAAGG
RNAcentral lists this long non-coding RNA (1119 nucleotides) under Setaria viridis. RNAcentral describes it as "long non-coding RNA (SVIR_LNC010343)". The record is from RNAcentral. Lineage: Eukaryota; Viridiplantae; Streptophyta; Magnoliopsida; Poales; Poaceae.